GCUUAUGACACAAUAUUCAAGGGAAAAGCAGGACAUAAAAGUUGCAGAUACAGUAUGAUAAAAUUAUAUGAAAAUGGUUGUGCAUGGAAAAAAGACUGAAAGGAAACACACCAAAAUAUCCAGAGUGAUUGUGUCCUGGUACUAUGGAUGAUUUCUUUCCUACUUUUCUACAUUUGCCAAAUAGUCAAUCGGCAUACAGUUUUACAACAAAGAAAAGGCACCAAUGAUAAUAAUGAUAAUAAUAAAAAGAAUUAUAGGGCCGGGUGCGGUGGCUCACGCCUGUAAUCCCAGCACUUUGGGAGGCCGAGGAGGGCGGAUCACCUGAGGUCAGAGUUUGGAGACCAGCCGAAACCCUGUCUCUACUAAAAACAGGUUCUCAUGCUUGCGGGGUGAGGCGCUGGGACACUUCUCCCGGCACGCACGCCCCACAUGGCCUGGGCCCCGGGCGUCAGCCGCGCCCGCCUUGGAGGCGCGGUCCUCCAAGUGCGGCCCUCCAAGUGCGGUCCUCGGGGGUGGGCGGACUGAAAGGGGAGGUCCCACUCUCCCAGAUGAGCAUCUUUCUGAUCUCCCAGAUCGGAAAGAGCUGGGAUCCCCCACCCCACCUCCACCCCUGGGUUACUUAGAACUCUUGGGGCCUCGGACUUCAGGUUCAGAUCACCUGGAGUAAGGGAUGACCUCCGAGGGAUGAGGAGCCUCCGAAAGGCCUGUUUCCUUCUCCUCGCAGCCCACUCUACUUCUCUCCGGCCCGCUCCAACAC
RNAcentral lists this long non-coding RNA (757 nucleotides) under Homo sapiens (human). RNAcentral describes it as "non-protein coding lnc-MAFF-9:1". The record is from RNAcentral. Lineage: Eukaryota; Metazoa; Chordata; Mammalia; Primates; Hominidae.